This 34-nucleotide transfer RNA is filed under the name Praxelis clematidea. RNAcentral describes it as "partial tRNA-Phe". Lineage: Eukaryota; Viridiplantae; Streptophyta; Magnoliopsida; Asterales; Asteraceae. The record is from RNAcentral.
UCGGGAUAGCUCAGUUGGUAGAGCAGAGGACUGA